This 440-nucleotide ribosomal RNA is filed under the name uncultured bacterium. RNAcentral describes it as "partial 16S ribosomal RNA". It matches the Rfam family "Bacterial small subunit ribosomal RNA", at positions 338 to 795 of the family's 1533-position model. The record is from RNAcentral.
CCUACGGGAGGCAGCAGUGGGGAAUAUUGCACAAUGGGGGAAACCCUGAUGCAGCGACGCCGCGUGAGUGAAGAAGUAUUUCGGUACGUAAAGCUCUAUCAGCAGGGAAGAAAAUGACGGUACCUGACUAAGAAGCCCCGGCUAACUACGUGCCAGCAGCCGCGGUAAUACGUAGGGGGCAAGCGUUAUCCGGAUUUACUGGGUGUAAAGGGAGCGUAGACGGCAGCACAAGUCUGGAGUGAAAUCCCAUGGCUUAACCAUGGAACUGCUUUGGAAACUGUGCAGCUAGAGUGCAGGAGAGGUAAGCGGAAUUCCUAGUGUAGCGGUGAAAUGCGUAGAUAUUAGGAGGAACACCAGUGGCGAAGGCGGCUUACUGGACUGUAACUGACGUUGAGGCUCGAAAGCGUGGGGAGCAAACAGGAUUAGAUACCCGGGUAGUC